GGAGCUUUAAACCCAACAGCACCCGUUUAUUUUCAUCCUCACAUAAGUUAGGUUAUGCCUGUUUGGUUUUAGGUUGGGGUGACCACGGAGUAUAAAACAACCUCCAUGAAAAAAGGACCAAAAAUCCUUAUUAGAGAAAGACAUUUCUAAAAUUAAUAAAUUAAUUUUUAAUGAUCCGAUAUUCGAUCAACGAACCAAGUUACCCUGGGGAUAACAGCGCAAUCCACUUCAAGAGCUCCUAUCGACAAGUGGGUUUACGACCUCGAUGUUGGAUCAGGGUAUCCUAGUGGUGCAGCAGCUACUAACGGUUCGUUUGUUCAACGAUUAAAACCCU
Molecule: ribosomal RNA, 334 nt
Filed under: Boophis elenae
Lineage: Eukaryota; Metazoa; Chordata; Amphibia; Anura; Mantellidae
Description: partial 16S ribosomal RNA
Rfam family: Bacterial large subunit ribosomal RNA
Source: RNAcentral